UACGUAGGUGGCAAGCGUUGUCCGGAUUUACUGGGCGUAAAGAGCGCGCAGGCGGUCGUUCAAGUCGCGUGUGAAAGCCCCCGGCUCAACUGGGGAGGGUCACGCGAUACUGAUCGACUCGAAGGCAGGAGAGGGUAGUGGAAUUCCCGGUGUAGUGGUGAAAUGCGUAGAUAUCGGGAGGAACACCAGUGGCGAAGGCGAAUACCUGGCCUGUUCUUGACGCUGAGGCGCGAAAGCUAGGGGAGCAAACGGG
RNAcentral lists this ribosomal RNA (253 nucleotides) under uncultured bacterium. Its description in RNAcentral is "partial 16S ribosomal RNA". It matches the Rfam family "Bacterial small subunit ribosomal RNA", at positions 524 to 776 of the family's 1533-position model. The record is from RNAcentral.